GUCCCCUGGUAGCACAGUGGUAGAGUUUCUGCUUUCUACGCAGGAGACCCAGGUUCAGAUGCCAUGCGGACC
Non-coding RNA from Gymnothorax javanicus (giant moray), 72 nucleotides. The record is from the annotation of a GenBank genome assembly. NCBI's taxonomy places the organism in Eukaryota, Metazoa, Chordata, Actinopteri, Anguilliformes, Muraenidae.